Molecule: small nucleolar RNA, 182 nt
Filed under: Mesocricetus auratus (golden hamster)
Lineage: Eukaryota; Metazoa; Chordata; Mammalia; Rodentia; Cricetidae
Description: Small nucleolar RNA SNORA73 family (ENSMAUG00000003266.1)
Source: RNAcentral
UCAGUCACUUUCUGCAAGUUCUGUCCAGGCUCUGUGGUGUAGGCAGCACAGUGCUCUGUGUGGGUGGAACAGUGCCUUCCUAGUGUUGAAGAUGAAAAUGAGCUUUGUUGGCCAGCACUGUGGAGUCCUCCAGCCUCUCUGGGUUCUGAGGGACAAUGACAGAGGAGAUGGAUCAGGUAUAU